GGUGGCACAAUGGGUCAGUGCAUCUGGCUGUUAACUAGAGGGCUGGUGGUUCAAGCCCACCCAGGGACG
Molecule: transfer RNA, 69 nt
Filed under: Podarcis lilfordi (Lilford's wall lizard)
Lineage: Eukaryota; Metazoa; Chordata; Lepidosauria; Squamata; Lacertidae
Description: tRNA.Asn
Rfam family: tRNA (bases 2-62)
About the family: Transfer RNA (tRNA) molecules are approximately 80 nucleotides in length.
Source: RNAcentral